Molecule: small nuclear RNA, 106 nt
Organism: Hippopotamus amphibius kiboko
Lineage: Eukaryota; Metazoa; Chordata; Mammalia; Artiodactyla; Hippopotamidae
Source: RefSeq, a predicted model, not a curated record
GUGCUCGCUUCAACAGCACACAUACCAAAGCUGGAAUGAUACAGAGAAGAUUAGCAUGGCCCCGUGCAAGGAUGACACACCAAUUCAUGAAACAUUCCAUUUUUGU